This 463-nucleotide ribosomal RNA is filed under the name uncultured bacterium. Its description in RNAcentral is "partial 16S ribosomal RNA". It matches the Rfam family "Bacterial small subunit ribosomal RNA", at positions 28 to 507 of the family's 1533-position model. The record is from RNAcentral.
GACGAACGCUGGCGGCGUGCUUAACACAUGCAAGUCGAACGGAAAGGCCUUUUCGGAGGUACUCGAGUGGCGAACGGGUGAGUAACACGUGGGUGAUCUGCCCUGCACUCUGGGAUAAGCCUGGGAAACUGGGUCUAAUACCGGAUAGGACCGCACUUUAGUGUGUGUGGUGGAAAGUUUUUUCGGCGUAGGAUGAGCCCGCGGCCUAUCAGCUUGUUGGUGGGGUAAUGGCCUACCAAGGCGGCGACGGGUAGCCGGACUGAGAGGUUGGUCGGCCACAUUGGGACUGAGAUACGGCCCAGACUCCUACGGGAGGCAGCAGUGGGGAAUAUUGCACAAUGGGCGCAAGCCUGAUGCAGCGACGCCGCGUGGGGGAGGACGGCCUUCGGGUUGUAAACUCCUUUCGCCAGGGACGAAGCGUUUUGUGACGGUACCUGGAGAAGAAGCACCGGCUAACUACGUG